RNAcentral lists this long non-coding RNA (343 nucleotides) under Brassica napus (rape). RNAcentral's name for it is "long non-coding RNA (BNAP_LNC006638)". Lineage: Eukaryota; Viridiplantae; Streptophyta; Magnoliopsida; Brassicales; Brassicaceae. The record is from RNAcentral.
AGUGCAGCGUCCUAUGGCCAAGGUAGAAGGUUAAGGAUGUCAGGAUGCUGAGACUUAACCUUAUGAGAGACAGAAGUCAGCUAGGAAGAGUAAGACGGUAGCUGGACGAAGUGAACGAGUAGCUCGACCAGCUCAACGAAGCUAGGUUCAGUUCACUCCAGCUCAGCCAGUACUAAGUCAGCUCCACUAGCUGGACUACUAGGUCACUCAGCUGGGUCAGCUGGGAGCCAACUCAUCUCAGCUAGACGGACUGUUCGGGUUUCGGGCCGAUGGUCCGGGUCAGUGGCGGGACGUGAGGUCCGGCCAAGAGGCCAUGGGCUGUUAGGUCUUUGGACAAGGCCGU